GCGAAACCCCUUCGGGGGGAGUAGAGUGGCGGACGGGUGAGUAAUGUGUGGGAAUCUGCCCUGCAGCGGGGGAUAACCCGGGGAAACUCGGGCUAAUACCGCAUACGACCUACGGGUGAAAGGGGGCUUCGGCUCUCACUGCAGGAUGAGCCCACAUCCGAUUAGCUUGUUGGUGAGGUAACGGCUCACCAAGGCGACGAUCGGUAGCUGGUCUGAGAGGAUGAUCAGCCACACUGGGACUGAGACACGGCCCAGACUCCUACGGGAGGCAGCAGUGGGGAAUAUUGGACAAUGGGCGAAAGCCUGAUCCAGCAAUGCCGCGUGUGUGAAGAAGGCCUGCGGGUUGUAAAGCACUUUCAGCGAGGAAGAAAAGCCUGUGGUUAAUACCCAUGGGUCUUGACGUUACUCGCAGAAGAAGCACCGGCUAACUCCGUGCCAGCAGCC
RNAcentral lists this ribosomal RNA (444 nucleotides) under Marichromatium sp. YS31(3). Its description in RNAcentral is "bacterial SSU rRNA". It matches the Rfam family "Bacterial small subunit ribosomal RNA", at positions 66 to 516 of the family's 1533-position model. The record is from RNAcentral. Lineage: Bacteria; Pseudomonadati; Pseudomonadota; Gammaproteobacteria; Chromatiales; Chromatiaceae.